Molecule: ribosomal RNA, 463 nt
Filed under: Gammarus lacustris
Lineage: Eukaryota; Metazoa; Arthropoda; Malacostraca; Amphipoda; Gammaridae
Description: partial 12S ribosomal RNA
Source: RNAcentral
UACUUGUUCUUUUUAAAAUCUUGUAGGCAGGCUAUCUUUUGUUAGAGCGAGUAAAAUUUUUGGUGAAAUAAGAAUUAGUUAUGUGUCACUAUAAAAAGGUCAGGCUUUUUGGAACCGGGAUUAGAGACCCCGCUACUUAUUAUAAUGUCUAAGGAUUAGAUAUAGAAAUCAUAUGGUUUGGCGGCCAAACUGAUUUAGAGGAGUUUGCUUAUAAUCGACGGGUCUCGUUAGCUCUUGCCGGCCUAAUUUAUGUACACCGUCAUUUAGUUAAUUUUAUAAGAAAAAUUAAGGAAAUUAGUCGAGUAAGCUAGAUCAAGGUGCAGAGUGGGUGGGACUAAGUUAACUACAAUAUAAAAUUAUACAUCGGCACGGGUAUGUGUCCGUUAAUAAGUGGAUUUAAGAGUAAUUAUUUAUGUUUGAUCUAAUAGGGUUGGUGUACAAAUUGCCCGUCAAUCUCUAAGAG